Molecule: ribosomal RNA, 395 nt
Filed under: uncultured bacterium
Lineage: Bacteria
Description: partial 16S ribosomal RNA
Rfam family: Bacterial small subunit ribosomal RNA
Source: RNAcentral
AUACGUAGGGUGCAAGCGUUAAUCGGAAUUACUGGGCGUAAAGCGUGCGCAGGCGGUUUUGUAGGACAGGGGUGAAAUCCCCGGGCUCAACCUGGGAACUGCCAUUGUGACUGCAAGGCUGGAGUGCGGCAGAGGGGGAUGGAAUUCCGCGUGUAGCAGUGAAAUGCGUAGAUAUGCGGAGGAACACCGAUGGCGAAGGCAAUCCCCUGGGCCUGCACUGACGCUCAUGCACGAAAGCGUGGGGAGCAAACAGGAUUAGAUACCCUGGUAGUCCACGCCCUAAACGAUGUCAACUGGUUGUUGGGGAUUUAUUUUCUCAGUAACGAAGCUAACGCGUGAAGUUGACCGCCUGGGGAGUACGGCCGCAAGGUUAAAACUCAAAUGAAUUGACGGGG